Long non-coding RNA from Cavia porcellus (domestic guinea pig), 1847 nucleotides. RefSeq lists it as uncharacterized. The record is from RefSeq and is a predicted model, not a curated record. NCBI's taxonomy places the organism in Eukaryota, Metazoa, Chordata, Mammalia, Rodentia, Caviidae. The transcript has 3 exons.
UGUUACAAAUCUUCUCCAAACUUUUUUCUCCUGUCCUUCAAAUAGAUAAGAAUCGAUGUCCUAUAACAGAACAGAAAAGCACAUUUCUGGUCUUUGUUUUCCUUUCCAGGUUUAUCAGCUUUCCUCUGAGAUCCAUAACCUACGUCACAGGUGAUCAAGCCACAGGCUCCACCUACAGCAUCCUCCCAGGCUUGGCGAGGUAUGAAUACAAACGUCCUACUCUUUGGUUGAGGAGUCAGACAUCAUCUAUGGUGGACUCUACAAGAGCUCAGGAGAUCCUGAUUACACACUCCCUGUGCUUCUUUCAGUUGUGGAACCAAGAGUGACCUGAAUUCUUCUAAUUAAAGAGUAGUAGAGGGAGCUUCGUUCCUGAGUCAAGAUGAGAACUCCAAUAAUGGAGACAAGAUCUUACUUUCAAAAAGUGUGAACCAGUAGGCACUUUUGGAAUUUUAGCUAGUGAGAAUUCAGAUUGUUUGUUGCCUAUUUUGUACAAAGUCAAUGGCAUUUUGACAAUCGCUUACUACUAAUUAGUGCUAAUUCACUCAGAAACACUGAUUAGUGCCAGAAAACUGAGUCUUUCAUAUUUUUUUCCUGCUUCUUUGUGUCUUUGUUUCCCCUAAACCUUGUAAUCUGGUUUUCCACUUGCCUAGCAGGGAUUCAAUGCUAUUUGAUUUAAGAGAGACAACAUUGAUUUCCUUUACUUUCAAGAAUAUCUCUAAUCUAAGUUACACUCAAUGUUUCUGAGAAAUACUAUUUUUAUUAUGAGAUUGAUAAAUCUGAUACAGCCAGAAACUUACAAUAAAAUGAAACUUUAUGCUGAUUAACCAAUAUAUAUAAACCAAGAAGACUCAGUGAUCUGGUUGCAGUAAGGAUUAUAAUUUUAAGAACCUCAGAUUUCCAAACUUAAAGCUCCUAUGUAAUUCAGAGAAAACUGAUAUUUGCUGAUAUGCAAAAAAUUCUGGAUAUCAUUUCUCUAGUCCUAGAGUUUUUGAGCUAAAUGCUAUUUCUUAGGUAAUAGUCCUUAGUUAUUCUUUCUAUUAAGGUUAUUAGUUAAGUAUCUGGCUUGUCAUCUAGAAAUGGUGUCAUCCAUUGGUGCAUUGCUCUCUGGUGGUGGCCAUCUGGCAUUCAGAAGAUUCAGUAUGCAAAUUUGCCUCUUGUUAUGGUUUAGAUCUAAAAUAGCCCCAAAGCCUCAUGUUUUUGGAAAAUGACUGGACUAUGAGGGCUUAUAGCUGACUUGCUCUUAGGAAUUGACAUCUGGUCAGAAGAGACUGGUCACCAUGGGCAUGACCUGGAAGACAUGUCUCAUUUUGGGCUCCUCUCUGUCUAGAAAGCUAUUUUAUUGAGCAAAUUUCCUCUGCUCAGGCUCCUCCAAAAUGUCUUCCUACCUAUAAGAUGUGAAUAUUCUGUAUUUUGUCCCAGUGACUAAGAGAAGGACUAAAAUAUCUCAUUAAUAAACAACUCUUCUGGCAGAGCCUACAUUCAUAUUCAAAUAACCACUUUGAAUGGUUAUGGGUCAACUGGGAAAACAUUGAAGUGUCUAGAGAAAAAUUAGCUAACACACAAGGGAUAGGUCACCUCGUUCGAGUGUGCUGGAAGACCAACGCCUUAGGGAAUGUUUUCUCAUGGGCACUACUGCAAGCAAAAAUGAUUCACAAAUUUCUGCUUUUCUCCUACAUUCAUCCACAUUUUUUCCCAGACCACUCUAUCAUUUUCUUCCCAGAUUGGAGCUCCAAAAACAAAGCAACUGCUCCUUUCCAUCGCCUAAUGUUUAUUCUAAUCUCACACCAUUUGUCUCUCCAUACAAAAUGUUUGACCAGUCAUACUCUUUACAUUUCAACUACAGAAAA